This 460-nucleotide ribosomal RNA is filed under the name uncultured bacterium. RNAcentral describes it as "partial 16S ribosomal RNA". It matches the Rfam family "Bacterial small subunit ribosomal RNA", at positions 338 to 795 of the family's 1533-position model. The record is from RNAcentral.
CCUACGGGUGGCAGCAGUGAGGAAUAUUGGUCAAUGGACGAGAGUCUGAACCAGCCAAGUAGCGUGAAGGAUGACUGCCCUAUGGGUUGUAAACUUCUUUUAUAUGAGAAUAAAAUGUUCCACGUGUGGGAUUUUGUAUGUACCAUAUGAAUAAGGAUCGGCUAACUCCGUGCCAGCAGCCGCGGUAAUACGGAGGAUCCGAGCGUUAUCCGGAUUUAUUGGGUUUAAAGGGUGCGUAGGUGGAUUGUUAAGUCAGUUGUGAAAGUUUGCGGCACAACCGUAAAAUUGCAGUUGAAACUGGCAGUCUUGAGUACAGUAGAGGUGGGCGGAAUUCGUGGUGUAGCGGUGAAAUGCUUAGAUAUCACGAAGAACUCCGAUUGCGAAGGCAGUUCACUGGACUGCAACUGACACUGAGGCUCGAAAGUGUGGGUAUCAAACAGGAUUAGAUACCCGAGUAGUC